Molecule: small nucleolar RNA, 107 nt
Organism: Coffea eugenioides
Lineage: Eukaryota; Viridiplantae; Streptophyta; Magnoliopsida; Gentianales; Rubiaceae
Source: RefSeq, a predicted model, not a curated record
AACUCAUGAUGUGGACAUUUACAUAAAAACUCCCGAAAACACUCUCAAACUUCAUAUACAGACUUUCAGUCCUGUUAAGAAAAUUCAGUUAUAUUCAUACGAAAUUU